CCUACGGGGAGGCAGCAGUAGGGAAUUUUCGUCAAUGGGCGCAAGCCUGAAUGAGCAAUGCCGCGUGAACGAGGAAGGUCUUCGGAUCGUAAAGUUCUGUUGAAGGGGAAAAAGAGCGGAGAGAGGAAAUGAACUCCGAUUGAUAUUACCCUUCGAGGAAGUCACGGCUAACUACGUGCCAGCAGCCGCGGUAAUACGUAGGUGGCGAGCGUUAUCGGGAAUGAUUGGGCGUAAAGGGUGGGUAGGCGGCCUGCUAAGUCCGGAGUGAAAGGUACCGGUUCAACCGGUACAGGCUCUGGAAACUGGCGGGCUAGAGAGCAGGAGAGGGCGGUGGAACUCCAUGUGUAGCGGUAAAAUGUGUAGAUAUAUGGAAGAACACCAGUGGCGAAAGCGGCCGCCUGGCCUGUUACUGACGCUGAGGCACGAAAGCGUGGGGAGCAAAUAGGAUUAGAUACCCCUGUAGUC
RNAcentral lists this ribosomal RNA (465 nucleotides) under uncultured bacterium. RNAcentral describes it as "partial 16S ribosomal RNA". It matches the Rfam family "Bacterial small subunit ribosomal RNA", at positions 338 to 795 of the family's 1533-position model. The record is from RNAcentral.